AUUGAACGCUGGCGGCAGGCCUAACACAUGCAAGUCGAACGGUAGCACAGAGAGCUUGCUCUCGGGUGACGAGUGGCGGACGGGUGAGUAACGUCUGGGAAACUGCCCGAUGGAGGGGGAUAACUACUGGAAACGGUAGCUAAUACCGCAUAACGUCGCAAGACCAAAGUGGGGGACCUUCGGGCCUCACACCAUCGGAUGUGCCCAGAUGGGAUUAGCUAGUAGGUGGGGUAAUGGCUCACCUAGGGGACGAUCCCUAGCUGGUCUGAGAGGAUGACCAGCCACACGGGAACAGAGACACGGUCCAGACUCCUACGGGAGGCAGCAGUGGGGAAUAUUGCACAAUGGGCGCAAGCCUGAUGCAGCCAUGCCGCGUGUAUGAAGAAGGCCUUCGGGUUGUAAAGUACCUUUAGCGGGGAGGAAGGCGGUGAAGUUAAUAGCUUCACCGAUUGACGUUACCCGCAGAAGAAGCACCGGCUAACUCCGUGCCAGCCGCCGCCGCGG
RNAcentral lists this ribosomal RNA (504 nucleotides) under uncultured bacterium. RNAcentral describes it as "partial 16S ribosomal RNA". It matches the Rfam family "Bacterial small subunit ribosomal RNA", at positions 29 to 523 of the family's 1533-position model. The record is from RNAcentral.